UGUCCAGGUCCGAUCUAACACGAACAAUAGAAAUUAAUAUUACAACUUGCUGUUAUUAUUAAUUCGGCGCCAUGUUAAUGGGUAGUAUCGAGUGCUAUUAAUUAAUUGGUUUUUCGCGUUAGUUUUCGAAGAUUAGUAAAGAAUAUUUAUCCGAUAUAGUGUUGUGCAAUCAUCAAUGUGAAUUUGAACAGUGACUGGAACAAAAGUUGUACUUAGGAUUAGGAUUACUAGUGGAGUGGAGUAUAAAUGGUGCAUUUUGCAGUUAGUCGUCGGUCAUGAGCCACAUUCGACAAUCGAUUAAUUCCGGGAUCAUCACUGAAGGGAAUUUGAGGAAAGCUACAUCUUCUAGUCCAGUAACCCAACAGUCAGUGAUCGGCUUCUUCCAGAAUCACCGGCACGCGUCAAGAGUGGUACAGUUGCAUAUGCUUUUAAUUAGUUCUUCU
Long non-coding RNA from Agrilus planipennis (emerald ash borer), 443 nucleotides. RefSeq lists it as uncharacterized. The transcript has 3 exons. The record is from RefSeq and is a predicted model, not a curated record. Lineage: Eukaryota; Metazoa; Arthropoda; Insecta; Coleoptera; Buprestidae.